CGAGAAAUCUAAACCGUGUAGAACUAAUAUUAAAACUCUGUAUUUAAAUAUUUAGAUAUUUAUCGAAGGCGGACUGGAAAGUAUCCAUUAUUAUAGAAAAUAAUCAGCUCAAAAUGACAAUCAUUGGUUGUAGCUGAGAAAAAUUUCGCUAGGAAUAGGAGUCCAACAUUUUUUUCGAUCAAUUGAACGGCCUUUUUAAGUGUUCU
Non-coding RNA from Cinara cedri, 206 nucleotides. Lineage: Eukaryota; Metazoa; Arthropoda; Insecta; Hemiptera; Aphididae. The record is from the annotation of a GenBank genome assembly.